Molecule: ribosomal RNA, 1152 nt
Filed under: Gonocephalum sp. NLG-2012
Lineage: Eukaryota; Metazoa; Arthropoda; Insecta; Coleoptera; Tenebrionidae
Description: partial 16S ribosomal RNA
Source: RNAcentral
GUCUUUAAAGUUAAAAAAUUUGGCGGUAUUUUAGUCUAUUCAGCGGAACUUGUUUUUUAAUCGAUAAUCCACGAUAACUAUUACUUUGUUUUUAAAUUUGCAUAUCGUCGUUUAUAAAAAUUUUAGGAUUUAAUUUUUUCAGAUCAAGGUGUAGUUGAUGGCAAAGUUAAAAUGGGUUACAAUAAAUAUUUAAAAUAAAAUGGAUUUGAUAGUAAGCUCUAAAAUAUGCACAUAUCGCCCGUCGCUUUCGCUUUAAAGUGGAAUAAGUCGUAACAAAGUAGGCUUAUUGGAAAAUGAGCCUGGAAUGCAAAUUAGAGCUUGGUAAGCAUUUUAUUUACAUUAAAAGGUUAAUUGUGAAAUUCAAUUUAAUUUGAUUUUAUUGUAUUAUUAUUUUUUGUUGUUAUUUUUUUAUAUUAGAAGAAUGUUUUUUUUUAUUUUUUGUUCGAAAAAAUUUUAUUAUAGUUUAGAGUAUUGAGAAAGAAAUUCUUUAAAAUUUGAUAAGAAAAUUUUGUUUAUUGUACCUUGUGUAUCAGGGUUUAUUAAUUAAUUUUUCCCGAAUUUAAAAGAGCUAUUAUUACUGUGGAAUAAGUAUUUUUAAUAUUAAUAUAGUAAUGAAACGUUAUUCGUUUUUAAAUAUAUCUGGUUUCUUGAGAAAUUAAUUUAAUUUAGUUAUUCAAUAGGAUUUUGUUAGGGGAUAAGCUUUUGAAUAAAUUGUUAUAAUUUUAUAUUUUUAAUUGAUUUGUAGGAUUAGAAUUUUCCAUCAAUAUAAGGAUGUUUUAAUUUAUUAUUUUAACUUUUUUAUUGAGAUUUAUAUUUUAAUUUUUUUUAUUUAGGAAUUAUGAUAGAAUUAGUAAGGCUAUUUUAAGGAAUUCGGCAAUAUUAAUUUUCACCUGUUUAUUAAAAACAUGUCCUUUUGUUAAUGAUUUAAGGUCAGGCCUGCCCAAUGAUUAAAUGGCCGCAGUAUAUUGACUGUGCAAAGGUAGCAUAAUCAUUAGUUUCCUAAUUAGAAGCUGGAAUGAAUGGUUCGAUGAAAAAUUAACUGUCUCUAUAAUUUUAUUUUUAAGUGAAAAAGCUUAAAUUUUUUAAAAAGACGAGAAGACCCUAUAGAGUUUUUUUGUUGGGGUGACAUAAAAAUUUAUAUAACUUUUUAUU